RNAcentral lists this ribosomal RNA (383 nucleotides) under uncultured bacterium. RNAcentral describes it as "bacterial SSU rRNA". It matches the Rfam family "Bacterial small subunit ribosomal RNA", at positions 28 to 416 of the family's 1533-position model. The record is from RNAcentral.
GACGAACGCUGGCGGCGUGCUUAACACAUGCAAGUCGAGCGGUAAGGCCCUUUCGGGGGUACACGAGCGGCGAACGGGUGAGUAACACGUGGGUGACCUGCCCUUAGCUCUGGGAUAAGCCUGGGAAACUGGGUCUAAUACCGGAUAUGACUCCAUGACGCAUGUUGUGGGGUGAAAGCCUUGUGCGGCUAGGGAUGGGCCCGCGGCCUAUCAGCUUGUUGGUGGGGUGAUGGCCACCAAGGCGACGACGGGUAGCCGGCCUGAGAGGGCGACCGGCCACACUGGGACUGAGACACGGCCCAGACUCCUACGGGAGGCAGCAGUGGGGAAUCUUGCGCAAUGGGCGAAAGCCUGACGCAGCGACGCGCGUGAGGAUGACGGCC